CAGUCGCCACGGUAAUACGUAGGGUGCAAGCGUUAAUCGGAAUUACUGGGCGUAAAGCGUGCGCAGGCGGUUAUAUAAGACAGAUGUGAAAUCCCCGGGCUCAACCUGGGAACUGCAUUUGUGACUGUAUAGCUAGAGUACGGCAGAGGGGGAUGGAAUUCCGCGUGUAGCAGUAAAAUGCGUAGAUAUGCGGAGGAACACCGAUGGCGAAGGCAAUCCCCUGGGCCUGUACUGACGCUCAUGCACGAAAGCGUGGGGAGCAAACAGGAUUAGAUACCCGAGUAGUCCCUGUCUCUUAUAU
This 301-nucleotide ribosomal RNA is filed under the name uncultured bacterium. RNAcentral's name for it is "partial 16S ribosomal RNA". It matches the Rfam family "Bacterial small subunit ribosomal RNA", at positions 509 to 809 of the family's 1533-position model. The record is from RNAcentral.